CAACUUUGCUAUCUUAGAACGGAUCACCAGUGAAAGAGGGGAAGUUGCUACUGUGAUGAAUUCUGCCAUGUGGUACCAGACUGCUGCCCAGACCACAGUGUCCUCUGCAACCCUGCUUCUCAGAUGACCAAGAUGGUGCUGCCGAUGGUGUUGAGGACGGAGAACCCACCAAGCCCCGUUAGGAGCCACCUAGACUGGAUGCAGAGCACAGUGAAAAUGGAGGUUCCCUCCUCCUGAGGCUGAGUGUGGCUUCCCUGGAAGACCUCACUGACCCCAGAGUGGCAGAAAGGCUGAUGCAGCAGCUCCACCAGGAACUCCACGCCCAUGCGCCUCACUUCCAGGUCUCCUUACUGCACGUCAGGAGAGGCUAACAGACAUCAGCUGCAGCCAGGCAUGUCCCGUACGCCCAAAGAGAGUGCUGCCCCUGGCCUGGGCCCCCACCGACAGACUGCAGCUGCGUUACUGUGCUGAGAGGUACCCAGAAGGUUCCCAUGAAGGGCAGCAGGUCCAAGCCCCUGACCCCAGAUGUGGCAACAGGACCCUUGCUCACGUCCACCGGAGUGUAUGUGUGGGGAGGGGCUUCACCUGUUCCCAGAGGUGUCCUUGGACUCACCUUGGCACAUGUUCUGUGUUUCAGUAAAGAGAGACCUGGUCACCCAUCUGUGUGCUUUCAUCCUGUAUUAGAAUUCACACAGCGUGGCCCA
Molecule: long non-coding RNA, 704 nt
Filed under: Pongo abelii (Sumatran orangutan)
Lineage: Eukaryota; Metazoa; Chordata; Mammalia; Primates; Hominidae
Description: lincRNA
Source: RNAcentral